GACGAACGCUGGCGGCGUGCCUAAUACAUGCAAGUCGAGCGGAUUGAUGGGAGCUUGCUCCCUGAUAUCAGCGGCGGACGGGUGAGUAACACGUGGGCAACCUGCCUAUAAGACUGGGAUAACUUCGGGAAACCGGAGCUAAUACCGGAUAAUCCCUUUCCUCUCAUGAGGAAAGGCUGAAAGAUGGUUUACGCUAUCACUUAUAGAUGGGCCCGCGGCGCAUUAGCUAGUUGGUGAGGUAACGGCUCACCAAGGCAACGAUGCGUAGCCGACCUGAGCGGGUGAUCGGCCACACUGGGACUGAGACACGGCCCAGACUCCUACGGGAGGCAGCAGUAGGGAAUCUUCCGCAAUGGACGAAAGUCUGACGGAGCAACGCCGCGUGAGUGAUGAAGGCUUUCGGAUCGUAAAACUCUGUUGUUAGGGAAGAACAAGUACGAGAGUAACUGCUCGUACCUUGACGGUACCUAACCAGAAAGCCACGGCUAACUACGUGCCAGCAGCCGCCGUAA
RNAcentral lists this ribosomal RNA (512 nucleotides) under uncultured bacterium. RNAcentral's name for it is "partial 16S ribosomal RNA". It matches the Rfam family "Bacterial small subunit ribosomal RNA", at positions 28 to 523 of the family's 1533-position model. The record is from RNAcentral.